UCUCCGCGUGUUUUCAGUCGGGUCUGGACAGCGGAAAACGCACGUUGACCGCUUUGACCAGUCCUUCCGAAGACGUUCCGCGGUCUGUUCGUAUUCGAACUUCUGAACAGACUCAAGACUGUUCCAAAACUGUUUCUAAGUCGUUCGAUCGCGUUGUUGUCAGGUGCUUUGCUCUUUUCAUGUGACAUGUUCGGAAAAUAGUUUCUAUUCAUCCAAAGUCUCGGGGGAGACUUUUUUUAUUGGACCGUUUUGCACUUCUGGUGUGCUCUCUACUUAAAACUCUUGGAUCUUCGAUGAUGAAAAUAUUGGCAGGUGUGGAGGAGGUGGCCAGCGAAGAAGACAAGGAACUUAUUAAUGGAAAUGUUUGCAAUAACCACCAUGAAAAGAAAAAAAAAUCUCAGUUGGCUGAAGAAUCAAUAAAACCAGGCAUCAAUCAGAGGCGAAUCGAACGUCCAAAGGAUCCUGCGGAACUACCCAUUAAGAGUGAGAUUACAUUCGAAGAUGAGGAGAGGAUGAGAAAGUUACUUCCUUUUCACUUAGCUCCCGAAUAUCUUCAAUUCAAUCCUUUUAUUCUCCAUGGCUACAGAGGCUACCUCACGACCAAAUUAUGCCUAGAAAGCAUCUUUUGGUGGACUAACGAAACAAUUAAUAUAUGGAGCCAUAUUUUUGGAUGGAUGUUAUUUUUUGGAUUAACAUUCUACGAUCUAUGUCUAUUGAAUAUCCAUGCGCCAUUUAAUGACAAAAUGAUUGUGGCACUACUACUAAUUUGUUUUCAGGCAUGUAUGAUCCUCUCGUCCAUCUAUCAUACCUUUUCUUGUCGAAGUGAGCAUGAUUAUUGGUGUUUCCUGUCCUUUGACCUCUUUGGCAUUGCUCUAAGUUUAUUAGCAAUUUACAUGUCUGGGGUAUAUUAUGCCUUCUGGUGUCAUAAGGCACUGCAACAUUUUUAUUUAAUAACAGUCCUACUAAUAUUUAUAUUUGCUAUGGUUCUGCAAGUGCCAAAGUUUAAUGUAGAUGGCAACGUGAAAUUGAUAGUUUUUGUUGCCUGGGCAGCUUAUGGUGUUUUGCCAACUUUACACUGGAGUGUGGCAAUGGGUGGCAUGGAAAACCCCAUGGUUCGGAUGCUCCUUCCACGAGUUUUAGGGAUGUAUGUUAUUAGCGGAUUAGCUUUCCUUAUCUAUCUCAGCAAAAUUCCAGAGCGAUUUUAUCCAGGCUCUGUGGACUUUAUUGGAUCUUCUCAUCAAUGGUGGCACGCGUUGGUCGUACUGGCUCUAUAUUAUUGGCACAAUACAGGAAUGUUGUAUGUUGAGUACAGAAUGAAUCAUGGCUGUCCUAGUAAUAUGAGAUUAUGACAUACGGAUGACGGUGGUCAAUCAGUUUGACAUCCUGCAAAUUAUAAAACAUUCGGAUUCGAUGAUAGGCUCAAUAUUUUACAAUGGAAUGCGCAUGCGAAGCGGAACGGGACAUGCGGCUGUCGCAUUGGUAUCAAGAUUUGCCAUUCUAUGCCCAAAAGAGUUUGACUUCUUACAUCGUAGAGAAGCCUUUAUAGUCCGGGAGCCACAAAGAAGAGGUGGUAU
Molecule: RNA transcript, 1574 nt
Organism: Belonocnema kinseyi
Lineage: Eukaryota; Metazoa; Arthropoda; Insecta; Hymenoptera; Cynipidae
Gene name: progestin and adipoQ receptor family member 3
Exons: 9
Source: RefSeq, a predicted model, not a curated record